Molecule: ribosomal RNA, 1498 nt
Filed under: human gut metagenome
Description: bacterial LSU rRNA
Rfam family: Bacterial large subunit ribosomal RNA
Source: RNAcentral
AUAGCGCAUAGUACCGUGAGGGAAAGGUGAAAAGAACCCCGGGAGGGGAGUGAAAUAGUACCUGAAACCGUAUGUCUACAAGCAGUCGAAGCGAAAGCGACGGCGUGCCUAUUGAAGAAUGAACCAACGAGUUAUCUGCACUAGCGAGGUUAAGUGGAAGACACGGAGCCGCAGCGAAAGCGAGUCUUAAGAGGGCGCUAGUUAGUGUAGGUAGACCCGAAACCGCAGUGAUCUACCCAUGUCCAGGUUGAAGCGCAGGUAAAAUUGCGUGGAGGACCGAACCGGUGAGCGUUGAAAAGCUUUCGGAUGAGAUGUGGGUAGGGGUGAAAUUCCAAUCGAACGCGGAGAUAGCUGGUUCUCCCCGAAAUAGCUUUAGGGCUAGCCUGAGGUAGUAAGUAUAGGCGGUAGAGCACUGAUCGGGCUAGGGGCCGUAAAGGUUACCGAACCCUGUCAAACUCCGAAUGGAUAUACUGUAGAGCCUUGGAGUCAGACUACGAGUGAUAAGAUCCGUGGUCAAAAGGGAAACAGCCCAGACCACCAGCUAAGGUCCCCAAUGUCGUACUAAGUGGAAAAGGAUGUGGGGUUUCAUAAACAACCAGGAUGUUGGCUCAGAAGCAGCCACCAUUUAAAGAGUGCGUAAUAGCUCACUGGUCGAGAGACCCUGCGCCGAAGAUUCCCGGGGCUAAAGUACGAAACCGAAGCUGUGGCUGUAUACGUAAAGUAUACGGGGUAGGGGAGCGUUCCCAUAGGGUAGAAGUCGAACUGGAAGGUUCGGUGGACUUGUGGGAAGUGAGAAUGUUGGUAUGAGUAGCGAAAAGAAAGGUGAGAAUCCUUUCCACCGAAAGCAUAAGGAUUCCUGAGCAACGAUCGUCGUCUCAGGGUAAGUCGGGACCUAAUCCGAGGCAGAGAGCGUAGGAGAUGGACAACUGGUUGAUAUUCCAGUACCGGUAGUAAUUGUUUGAGCAAUGGAGUGACACAGAAGGGCAGGCAAGCAUGCGAAUGGAAGAGCAUGUGUAAGCGUGUAGGGUGGUGCAUAGGCAAAUCCGUGCACUGAAAGCCUGAGGCGUGAUGCGGAGUGAGCAGAGAUGCGAGCGAAGUUGUUGACCCCACACUGUCGAGAAAAGCUUCUAGUGAGAGAGCUACCGCCCGUACCGUAAACCGACACAGGUAUGCGGGGAGAGAAUCCUAAGGUGCGCGGGAGAACCCUCGUUAAGGAACUCGGCAAAAUGUACCCGUAACUUCGGGAUAAGGGUAGCCACUGUUGUGAAGUCCCAUGCGGAUGGAGCAUAGAGUGGUCGCAGAGAAGAGGCCCAAGCGACUGUUUACCAUAAACACAGGUGCCUGCUAAAGCGAAAGCUGACGUAUAGGUGCUGACACCUGCCCAGUGCCGGAAGGUUAAGGAAGGAUGUUCGGAUUAGUCCAAAGCAUUCGACUGAAGCCCCGGUGAACGGCGGCCGUAACUAUAACGGUCCUAAGGUAGCGAAAUUCCUUGUCGGGU